Molecule: RNA transcript, 1039 nt
Organism: Brassica rapa (field mustard)
Lineage: Eukaryota; Viridiplantae; Streptophyta; Magnoliopsida; Brassicales; Brassicaceae
Gene name: XIAP-associated factor 1
Source: RefSeq, a predicted model, not a curated record
GACACCGAUAAUCUUGCCCUUACAACCAUAGUCUUCGAUAUAUAAAAUAUAGCCAUUAAUAAACAAAUUGAACCUCUUCUCUUCUCUCCUCUCGUAAAGAUCUUUCCUCUCCUCGUCCUCCUCCUCAUCUGAUCUCUUAAAGUAAGCUUUUUUAAAUAGACGAUGGCUACCGAGUCCGGAGAAAUCACCAUCGUAUGCAACCACUGUGACAGAGACAUUCCAGCACCAAACAUCGAUCUGCAUCGUGUACAUUGCGCCCGUCUAGAAAAAUGCAAGAUUUGUGGUGAUAUGGUUCCCAAAAAACAUGCUGAUGAACACUUCUUGACCGCACAUGCUCCGUACCAUGUUCGAUGUGCAAAGAGACCUUAGAACGUGACACUUGACCCAAGAGGAUGUUAUGAACUGUGAUGUAUAUUGAUGAGUAUCCUCCCACUCUUAAUCUCCACAAUCCGGAGAGUUAAAGCCAAUUACAAACUAUCAAUUAUGAAUCUUUAAGCUAAUGGAAUCCUUUUAUAGUAGUAUAAGGUCCAUGUACAAUUUUAUCUGUAACAAACUCCUCUUGACUUUAUAAACUUGCUUCCUCCUCCAAUGCUCUCUUCUUUCUCCUAGUGUAUAUUCUCCAUGGCAGAUGAUCACAGGAUUGUAACAUGUGAGUUCUGUGAGUUUCCAUUGCCUGCGGUUGAUGUCGCUGUGCAUCAGGAAGUAUGUGGCAACCGUGUUUCUAACACAAGAGCAGGAGGAGGAGGUGGAAACGGGAGGAGGCGAAGAGAUGGGAACGGUGUUUCUAACAGAAGGCUUUUCUUCAAUGUGGCGGUAACGGGAAUAGCCGUCUUAAUGGGGUCGCUGUUCUUCCAGAGGAAGCCUUUGAGAGGGGAGAGAUAAGUAGAGACAUAGCUCUGAGUGUAGUAGUUCUGUAAAUUUGCGCAAAAAUCCUUCAGACAGAUUCUGAGACAUAGCCUUGAGGGUUUUAUACAUUGUAAUGCUUACUGAGACAGAUUUGUAACAAGUGGACAAACAAAAGACAGACAGCAUUGCUCUA